RNAcentral lists this long non-coding RNA (7242 nucleotides) under Vitis vinifera (wine grape). Its description in RNAcentral is "long non-coding RNA (VVIN_LNC001382)". Lineage: Eukaryota; Viridiplantae; Streptophyta; Magnoliopsida; Vitales; Vitaceae. The record is from RNAcentral.
GCCUCAACUUUGAUACCACUUGUAAGACCUCAGGCGCUACCAACUCUCCUAAAAGAAAUUGCUGUUAAGAAAUGUGCAUACCCUAACCUUAUAUUGCAUUCACCCAAGAGUCCAUUACGAACACAUGAGGAGUUGAUGGACGCGACCAACCCUCCGAUCUGCCAAUAGAAACCUAUCCACAUUCAACACAGCUCAAUACACAAUCCUCGAGUUGAAUCUCUCGAUGAAAAUCAUUGCCUUUUUUUAUGAAUGCCUGUCCAAAAUGGUGUAUAUUGAUUCCAAGUUUGCUAUAUCAAAGUAGUAAGCAUUGAUGUCACUUAUAUUUGUUGAAGCGUGAUAUCCUUAGCUAUAAUAGUUGCCUUUAUACACUAUAUAUACCAUCUAGCCAAGUAACAUUAUUUGGCAACUAUAAUACAACAUAGGUACACUUUGAGAAAAUAAAAAAAUUCUAGAAAGGAAAAAAAAAAAAACAGCUAAUAAGAAGAAGAACAAGAAUCUUACUAUAUCAUCUAUGAUACCAAACAGUUAGCCAACUAGUUUUUCCCUAAUGCUCUAGUAAAACAUUUGUAUUAAGGAAAUAAUCCCAAAUUACAAAAGACCACCUUUUGUAGGAGUCUUUUUUGUGAUUUAAAAGGAACUUUUGAUGUAUGAUGCUUUAAAUCCUCUUUGAUUGUCUUUUCAUCCUUAUCUUAUAACUCAAAAAGAGAGAGAUUUAGGACUAGGUAUGAAGGAAUGUUUGGGUACUUUAUAAUUGUCGGUGGGUGUAAUCUUAUUGGUUGAAAUGAAGAAUGACUUUUUGCUAAGUGAUGAAUUUACCUUUUGCUAUCUUUCUAAAAACCACUUAAAGAAAAUUUGAGAUAAUAAAAGGCUCUUGAACUCAAGAGAAUACCACAUGGUAGAUGAUGACCAAAACCAAUUCCUAAAUCUAAGGCCUCUAAAUCGCCUUAAAAAGCAUAUGUUCUUUUAAGUAAAAGGUGCAAGAAAGGAUUUAAUUAGGUGAAUAAUCUUUCUUAGUUGAUAAAAAACAAUUUGGGGAAAGGUACCAUACAGUAUAUAAGGGACCCACUGUUGUUGGCUCAUAUGUUCAAAACAAUUUCAACCUCUUAAUAGGAGAAGAUACUUUUUUACCUUCCUAAUCCUUAUCAACAUUUGGCAACUGAAAGACAAUUUUUUUUCACCCUUGCAUUGAGGGCUAAGUAUUAGUUUCUUAACUUAUGAAGUUUUAUUUAUAUUGUUGCCUAUAAAGAGAUAAAAAAGAAGAAUAGAAAAAAAAACCUUUUAAAAUAUUAAGAAGAUAAGGCUCUCAAGUAGACAAGAACAAAAAUAGUGCAAGGUAGAAAAUAGAAAAAAGAAAAGACAAGUUUUAAUUACAACACCCUUGUUUUUUUCAAAGAAAAAAAAUAAUUGAAGGUACCACGAGGUAACUAUUAGUGACAACAAAAUUAAAAACUUUUAUUGCAUAUAGAACUCCAAGAAAUAUAGAAAAUGAGGAAAUUGUGGACAUGUAAGACCUCUCUGGCCAUGUGGAACCUUAUAAAUUAAAGUGACAAUUAUAAGAAGCUUAAUGACAAACUAGUAGAUGUAGAGGGUUAAAUUCAAAAAUCAUAAAAAAAAAAACAUUUAAUAUUUACAUGCCACCACUAGAUGACUCCUACCUCCAUCCUUACUUUAGUAAAGGUUUUUGGUGCUCAAUAGCAAAGAUACCCAAAAAACCAUCCUAUAUUGAAAAAUUACCAACCACAUAAUUAGUAAGUUUUAUAAAAGCCUAUAAUUGCUCAAGAAAUAUGAGUAAUUAACCUUUUUUUGAGAAUUUUUUUCAAGCUUCAAUUUUGGAGUUAGGCAAAAAGAGAUAUAAAUCACAAUGAACUAAUUCAACUUAGCUUAAUCAUCUUCUAUUAGAUAGGAAUAACUUUCUUAAAUUAGAUUGAGUUGAAGUUAAAUAAUUUUUUUAAAUAGUGAGAAAAUAAAUUAUAUCCUAGUUACUUGAUAUUUUCUAAUUUUUAAUGUGUUUAUUAAGAAUUUGUAGAAAACUGUUUAAAUAGUUCAUUUGUAGAAAAAUGUGCUAAUAUCAUCCACGUUUUUGGUUUUUCUUGCAUGAAAUCCAAUAAAUAAAGAAAUAAUGAGGAAAAAUUCAUGAUGUACAAAGGCACCUACUUUCUUGAUCAUGGUAAGAACUUUCCUUACCACCAUGGUUUGCUACCUUAGGGUCCUUUGGUCUUGUCUACCAUACUCUUCUAAUGCAUUUAUCCCUCUGAAUAGGCUGGUUGGUAGGGAUAUGAUAUCAGUUUGGGCUUUCAGGUACAUGUGUCUAUGAUCCUAAGUGUAAUAGAAAUGAUAAAAAUCAAAACUUUGCUCUCAUAGGGUGUGUUAGAAAUCAUAAUUGGGGUUUGAUUGUUUCCAACCCAUAUCCUUUCAUAGAAAAGAUCUUAAAAUUUGUCAAUCUUCCACCUAAUGGCCCAUUUUUUGGUCCUUAGCACAUGUGUAAAGUGGUUACAUAUCUUGAGAAAAGAGAGAAGAGGAGACUAGGUAUCUAGAAAACUAAUAGUCUGAAAAGUUAAGAGUCUAAUCCUAAAAUUAGUGGGGUUUAUAUAAAAUCUUCUAUGAGCUUAAGUGAUUUUGAUCCAACUUAGGCUUGGGUCACUUAAUCUAACUCAAUGGGUCAUAAUUAGUUAGUUAACCCUAAUGAGUUCUAAUUAAUUAAUUAGCCUAAUAAAAAAUCAAAAUUAAUUAAUCAUAAAAUUUUGUGCAACCUUGCACUUUUACCAAAGUAUUUUCCUAUACAUAAAUGAUUAAUUCUUUAUAAAUCCUUAAAACCUUUGUGCCAACAAAGAAUAUGAGUUCAAGUGGGGACUAUUGGGAACCAUAUGAAAAUAUUGACUCCCUCAUGAUCUAAUUAGAAAGUUGAAUCAACAUUCCACUAAAAAGAUUUAACUACACUCUAAUAUCCCAUAUCAUCAAGAUAAAAAUUGAUUAAAUCUAAUUUAAUUGAUUCCUUCGAUCCAUGAUAAAACCAUUCAUUGCAUGUAAAUUCCUCAUGAACUAGUGUCCAUAAUGUAAUGAGGUAGAUGCUAUUAACAUCUCAAGAUUACUUCUAUAAUCCUUAAGCCUCAAAUUCUUAUAUUAUGUGAUCAACAAAUAUAUUAUAGCAUAUCAAAAGUAUAUGUCAAAUUCCACUAAAGGAAUUACUACAAUACCACAAAUUUUAUGAUCACCAAUCCUUAGAAUCACCCAAGGGACAUAAUGUCUUAAACCCAUGUGAUAUCGUUGUAUCUAUUUUGAUAAUACCUAUUGUUACUCAUCUUAAUCAAUAAUGACCCAAUCUAUAGGUAAUCUAUGGCCACCUUAGAGUCUCAUCUAUAGGUUAAAGUCAUUGAAGACCUUAAUACUAGCUCAAUAUUCUCUCAAAGUUGAGAAUAUAUGCACCACAGUAGCUUGGUGAAAUUGUGACUAUCCAAUAGUCAAUUUCAUGAUUCAUCAUAGGUUUUAUCCAAUAUGUAACCAUGCACACUAAUGCACUCACUAUGGGAACUCAAUGCCCAAGACUAGUAUCUAUUCAAUGAGGAGAUAGUGCACUACAAUCUUAGAUGGAUUGCCUAAAUCCAUAAAUCAUUUAUAAACAACUCAUCAACUUAUAAGGAACCUAUUACUUAGACCUUAAGUGCAAUUUCUAAUGCACCCAAAUCAUGAAUGAGACAAGUGAAGUAAACUUGAAUGCUUAAAUAAAUCUUAAUUUAAUUAAUGAAUAGAAUAAUAGAAACUCAAGUCUAACUUGUUACAUCAUUUCUUACUUUUAAGGAAUCUAUCCCAACAAUUAUGAUGACCCUUAACUUCCUUACUUCACUUUCUACUUAACAAAUUCUUGUAGUUGCCCUUGCUCCAAGAGGUUUUCCACCAACCUUUUCAAGUGUUGGUCAUCAUUAGUCCAAUGCCUUUUCUUGGUAAUGACUAAAGGCUUGGUACUUAGAAACUUUAGGGAGGGGAAUAAGUUUGACAUAUCCUUCUUCCAUAUUUGUUGCAAAAUCUUUCUAUAAAGCUUGGUGAGAAGCAUUUAUUCUAUCUAAUUAUCUUUCAUGUGUUUUCCUUUCUCUCAAUGUUGCUUCUUAGAAUGGCCAUAUCUCCACUCUCAAUCCCUAUCUCAUCACCCAUGCUUUGUGCCCUCUCUUCUUUUGGCAUAAGGUUCUCCUCCUUCAAUUGAUUUAGAUGUCAUCGUACUUUCGAUGAUAAUGACCUUUGGUGCCAUUACCCUUAGAUCUUCUUCCAACAUGAUGUAGCUCCUAGCCUAAGUGAACAUACUAUCUAGAGAUGUUGGUGACUUCUUGGUGAGUAAAUGAUAAAGUUCGAAUGUAGAAAGGAGUUUAUUCUUGAAAAGAACAAUGGUUGUUGUUUUGCUACACUUGCCUACCUUUUUUAUUUCUUAGGUUGGAUUUUCAAAUUUAAUUUAUCCAACAUUCUAUUCAAGUUUUUGCUAUUUUGAAGAGGGUAUCCAUACCAUUUUUCUUUUUGGUCAGGUGCAUACAAUUACAAUGUCAGUAACACUCCCAAGCUCCAAGAGCAAAAAAAUCUAUUAUGAAGAUAUAUAUGAAAUUAGUCCAUAAUUAAAAGGUAGCAUAUAUUAUAAGUCCACAAUUAUCUUAAAUGCUACCUUUUAAGCUUUGGCAAUUGAUUGUGGACUCAUAGGAUAAUGGUGACCACAGGGUUCAAGCAUUCGUAGGAAGUCUAAGGUGGUAAGAUCCCACAAACAAAUGGAGGAAAAUAAGAUUGAAUUCAAAAUUAUUAGCAAAUACAACUCUAAUUCCACGUGCCACAAAGGAAAGUAUAAAUUUUGAUUCUACAUGAAUACUGGAAUCAUAUAAAAGAGAGGUAAUUUGACACUAAAGAUGAACGUCUGUCCCCAAAGUCUCUACCCACCAAUGUGAUUUGACAAUUGAAUAUUAAAUGCAACAAAGAAAAGGAGAUGCUCUUAGGCUAAAACAACUUUUAUGUUUUUGCAAUACCUUUGUGGUUGUGAUGCCCAACAAAUCUCAUCUUUCACUCUUUUAAAUGGACUUUUCUAAGCUUUUCUUUUGUAAUUUGCUCUUAAAUGCUUUUUAGAGUUUUCAAAUUGCUCAAGUCCCCAAAAGAAAAGUACCCAAAAGUUAUUUGGGAAUCCAUUUACUAUAUGGAGAAGGAAUUCAGGGUGGCUUUAUCGAGCCUAGGAAUUACUUUUUUGUCAUACAUACUCAAGCUGUCUCUCCUCUCUUUUGACCCUUCCAGGAUCACAAAGUACUGUACCACACCCCAUAUCUCUCCCCCCUCAUUGGCAUCUUAUGUAAGCAUAAUGAUGCCAAUCCAUUCUAUAUUCUUGUACGGACCAUUCUUGGUUCAAAAUUCAAUGAAAAGGGUGAAAAAAGUUGUGUCUUGGGUGUUGGAUUGAGCCUUUGGGACCUUUAUUUUCCACAAUGCUAAAGUGCAAUUACAACCCCGGCAUAUUUACCCUUUGCUUUAUAUAUAUAGUUCUAAGAGCUUCAUAUAAAAUUUCGUGAUAAUGCAAUUUUGUAUGAUUGUGGAAUCAUGGCAUAUAUGUUAUUAAAUGAUGAUUACAAUCUCAUCUUUUACCUUGUAUACAUGCACAUGUUUAUAUUUAUGUAUAUGCUUAUUUCAUACACUUUGUCAAAAUAGCUUAUAAUUGAAAAAUAAUCCUAAUAAAACGGACGUACGAAAGCAUUAUUUUAUCUUAUAUAAAAGAUUAUUUUAUGAUGGAUAAAAACUUCUAAUAUUAGUAUUAUUUUUUAAAAAUUAUAAUUUUAGAGCAAGUAAAUACCAAACCAUUGUUGUGAAUAAGAUGCCCUCAUCUUCUAUAUAGAUAAAGUGAUACAGUCAUGGACACAAAACUCUUGUAUUUCUACAUGCAAAUAUUCCCUUUCCUUGUGGUUUUCUAUGUGAAAUUGUAAUUAGCUUUCAAAUGACUUCUUCUCCAUUUGUCCAGUCUUAUCAAACCAAAGACGGAAGUACCAUUUUGUCAACCCAACUUUGGGCAUCAAAUUCACAAGAGCUAACCAAAAAUGUAGACACCAUCUUCAAGUCCCCUCUAUCUGCACUACUAGCAAAAUUUAGGGCUGAACCCCACAUGGAAGCAUGAAGAUGCCCAUGAAGAUGUGGCCCACAUGGGGGCUGGGACUAGAGAUCUGAACCACAUAGUAGGAGCAAGUGGGGUAUGGGCAACCAACAAAGAUGUCUACUAGAACAGACCCACAUGGUGGUAAAGAGUGUGGAAUGGGCUAAGACUAAGGGAGAUUGUUAUGAUGGCAGUCUUAAGGUGAAAAAGGAGUAGAAAUCAAAGAUCACCUUUGAUGGGUAGCCCCCAAGAAUAUCUCCUCUCUCAUGAAAUGAAACCAACCAAAAAAAGAGAGAAAAGUGAAAGCUCCUAACUUAUAUUCUUUGUAACUCCCCACAAGCAAAGACCAUUCACCAAAAAUUCAACCCCAAAAAGAUUCGAUACGGGUUUGAUUGACAUUGGUUUUUCUUGUUAUAGAAUUUCUCAGUCAUAUUUUCACACUAACCCAUCCCUGUUUUUCAAAGAAUUUGGUGGAAAGGACGAAAGAGAGUGUGGACUAUGGAUGUAGCUGGAAACAAACUUCAGGAAAAAAAUUAUUUUUAAUGGGGUUUUUCUCUGACCAAAAAGUGAAGCUUGAUGAAAAUAACUUCCACCAGAUACUCUUUUGAAACAGUCCUAUUUAGCUUUUCAUAACAAAUUUGUUCUACAGUCAAUAUUCUUAAGCAACUUGCAUGAUAAAGCACCCAGUAACAACCGACAAGAAAAAAUUACAUUACACCAAUAGUUUUUUCUUAAUCUGCUUGAAAUUAGAACUCAGUUUAAAUCUGUUGAUGGACAAAUUCUCAUGGAAUAUAUCCUCUGUGAUCAAGGUUUUUCAGGUUGCCUUUUGGGGGGUAUAAACUCUUCUGAACAAGAAGAAAAUCACAUUGUGAACUUGUAUGAGGCAUAAAUUCUAAUUGAAUUUGCUUCAAAAUAAACUAAAACAUGUACCUGCUCAAAUCGCUGCAGAUUGCCUCCUCCCUUAGCUCAGUAUGAGCAUAUGUUCGUCGGGAACUUUGGAUUGGAGUUCUUAGGAGAAAAAGGAAUAAAAACCCAAUUGAGGAAGGAAAGAUCAGACAUGGGAAGGUUGAGAAGUUGAGCCAUUGAUCAAUGAAAAGCAUGAAGGUUUGCCAACAGAAUGGGGCUUACUGCAUAUAGAGAUAGAAGAC